RNAcentral lists this ribosomal RNA (209 nucleotides) under uncultured Saccharomycopsis. RNAcentral's name for it is "partial 26S ribosomal RNA". The stretch from base 42 to 209 matches the Rfam family "Eukaryotic large subunit ribosomal RNA", at positions 104 to 270 of the family's 3401-position model. Lineage: Eukaryota; Fungi; Ascomycota; Saccharomycetes; Ascoideales; Saccharomycopsidaceae. The record is from RNAcentral.
GCAUCGCUCAUGAUCUCGUCACUGUUCUGCAAGUGAGCGGCAAAGCUCAAAUUUGAAAGCUAGCACCUUCGGUGUUCGCGUUGUAAUUUGAAGAUAGUUUCCUUGAGUAGUCCUUUAUCUAUGUUCCUUGGAACAGGACGUCAUAGAGGGUGAGAACCCCGUAUGAUUUUGGAUACUACUCUUUGUGGGAUUCUAUCGAAGAGUCGAGU